Long non-coding RNA from Balaenoptera ricei (Rice's whale), 481 nucleotides. RefSeq lists it as uncharacterized. The transcript is spliced from 4 exons. Lineage: Eukaryota; Metazoa; Chordata; Mammalia; Artiodactyla; Balaenopteridae. The record is from RefSeq and is a predicted model, not a curated record.
CUAGACUUGCCUGUGGCCACACAGCUAAUUAAUAACAUAGUUGGGAACAGACUUCAUCUCCUAACUUCCAACUUCGCACCCUACUGGGUUCCUGGGCUAGACUCCGACAGCGCCACGAAAAAAACAGGAGAAAAUGCCGCUAUCGCCCCUGGUACCUGCCCCUUUCCGGCCCCCGGACACUUUUCAUUCAAACGUGUAAAUGCACAGAAGAGAGAAGUUAAUGAUCACUAACCUUUUACCAUCUUGGGAGGAGCGACUUCUGGUGCCAAGUAUCAGGAAACUUCUGAGGGAAUGAUUCCAGGUGCCCUUAGCUCAGAUUCUGAUUUUGGGGAAUACAAACUGAGAUAGAGGCAUAUUUUGCUACCUGAAAUGGCCUGGGCUGCAGCUUGCUUUUGAGGAGAACAAGCACCUGGAGCUACAGUGUCUGAAGUAGCAGCUGCUGCUGCCACCUAGACAUCGUCACUGAGCUGUGUGAAGUGAU